AGUGAACGCUGGCGGUAGCCUAACACAUGCACGUCGAACGGCAGCACAGUAAGAGCUUGCUCUUACGGGUGGCGAGUGGCGGACGGGUGAGGAAUACAUCGGAAUCUACUUUUUCGUGGGGGAUAACGUAGGGAAACUUACGCUAAUACCGCAUACGACCUACGGGUGAAAGCAGGGGAUCUUCGGACCUUGCGCGAUUGAAUGAGCCGAUGUCGGAUUAGCUAGUUGGCGGGGUAAAGGCCCACCAAGGCGACGAUCCGUAGCUGGUCUGAGAGGAUGAUCAGCCACACUGGAACUGAGACACGGUCCAGACUCCUACGGGAGGCAGCAGUGGGGAAUAUUGGACAAUGGGCGCAAGCCUGAUCCAGCCAUACCGCGUGGGUGAAGAAGGCCUUCGGGUUGUAAAGCCCUUUUGUUGGGAAAGAAAAGCAGCAGGUUAAUACCCCGCUGUUCUGACGGUACCCAAAGAAUAAGCACCGGCUAACUUCGUG
RNAcentral lists this ribosomal RNA (491 nucleotides) under uncultured bacterium. Its description in RNAcentral is "partial 16S ribosomal RNA". It matches the Rfam family "Bacterial small subunit ribosomal RNA", at positions 29 to 507 of the family's 1533-position model. The record is from RNAcentral.